UACGAAGGAUGCAAGCGUUAUCCGGAUUUAUUGGGUUUAAAGGGUGCGUAGGCGGACUUAUAAGUCAGUGGUGAAAUCUCGAUGCUUAACAUCGAACGUGCCAUUGAUACUGUAGGUCUUGAGUACAGAUGCCGUUGGCGGAAUGUGUCAUGUAGCGGUGAAAUGCAUAGAUAUGACACAGAGCACCGAUUGCGAAGGCAGCUGACGAAACUGUAACUGACGCUGAGGCACGAAAGCGUGGGGAUCAAACAGG
This 253-nucleotide ribosomal RNA is filed under the name uncultured bacterium. RNAcentral describes it as "partial 16S ribosomal RNA". It matches the Rfam family "Bacterial small subunit ribosomal RNA", at positions 524 to 776 of the family's 1533-position model. The record is from RNAcentral.